CCGAUCGAGCUAACUGCAGUCGACGGUAGCACAGAGAGCUUGCUCUCGGGUGACGAGUGGCGGACGGGUGAGUAAUGUCUGGGAAACUGCCUGAUGGAGGGGGAUAACUACUGGAAACGGUAGCUAAUACCGCAUAACGUCGCAAGACCAAAGAGGGGGACCUUCGGGCCUCUUGCCAUCAGAUGUGCCCAGAUGGGAUUAGCUAGUAGGUGGGGUAACGGCUCACCUAGGCGACGAUCCCUAGCUGGUCUGAGAGGAUGACCAGCCACACUGGAACUGAGACACGGUCCAGACUCCUACGGGAGGCAGCAGUGGGGAAUAUUGCACAAUGGGCGCAAGCCUGAUGCAGCCAUGCCGCGUGUAUGAAGAAGGCCUUCGGGUUGUAAAGUACUUUCAGCGGGGAGGAAGGUGUUGUGGUUAAUAACCACAGCAAUUGACGUUACCCGCAGAAGAAGCACCGGCUAACUCCGUGCCAGCAGCCGCGGUAAUACGGAGGGUGCAAGCGUUAAUCGGAAUUACUGGGCGUAAAGCGCACGCAGGCGGUCUGUCAAGUCGGAUGUGAAAUCCCCCGGGCUCAACCUGGGAACUGCAUUCGAAACUGGCAGGCUAGAGUCCUUGUAGAGGGGGGUAGAAUUCCAGGUGUAGCGGUGAAAUGCGUAGAGAUCUGGAGGAAUACCGGUGGCGAAGGCGGCCCCCCUGGACAAAGACCUGACGCUCAGGUGCGAAAGCCUGGGGAGCAAACAGGAUUAGAUACCCUGGUAGUCCACGCCGUAAACGAUGUCGAUUUGGAGGUUGUGCCCCUGAGGCGUGGCUUCCGGAGCUAACGCGUUAAAAUCGACCCGGCCUGGGGAGCUACGGCCGCCAGGGUUAAAACUCAAAUGAAUUGACCGGGGGCCCGCACAAGCGGUGGAGCAUGU
This 917-nucleotide ribosomal RNA is filed under the name Enterobacter sp. OVC27. Its description in RNAcentral is "bacterial SSU rRNA". It matches the Rfam family "Bacterial small subunit ribosomal RNA", at positions 47 to 942 of the family's 1533-position model. Lineage: Bacteria; Pseudomonadati; Pseudomonadota; Gammaproteobacteria; Enterobacterales; Enterobacteriaceae. The record is from RNAcentral.